Molecule: ribosomal RNA, 478 nt
Filed under: uncultured bacterium
Lineage: Bacteria
Description: partial 16S ribosomal RNA
Rfam family: Bacterial small subunit ribosomal RNA
Source: RNAcentral
GACGAACGCUGGCGGCGUGCUUAACACAUGCAAGUCGAACGGUAAGGCCCUUCGGGGUACACGAGUGGCGAACGGGUGAGUAACACGUGGGUGAUCUGCCCUGCACUUCGGGAUAAGCCUGGGAAACUGGGUCUAAUACCGGAUAGGACCCUGGGAUGCAUGUCCUGGGGUGGAAAGCUUUUGCGGUGUGGGAUGGGCCCGCGGCCUAUCAGCUUGUUGGUGGGGUGAUGGCCUACCAAGGCGACGACGGGUAGCUGGCCUGGGAGGGUGACCGGCCACGCUGGGACUGAGAUACGGCCCAGACUCCUACGGGAGGCAGCAGUGGGGAAUAUUGCACAAUGGGCGCAAGCCUGAUGCAGCGACGCCGCGUGAGGGAUGACGGCCUUCGGGUUGUAAACCUCUUUCAGCACCGACGAAGCGCAAGUGACGGUAGGUGCAGAAGAAGGACCGGCCAACUACGUGCCAGCCGCCGCCGUAA